This 2924-nucleotide ribosomal RNA is filed under the name Escherichia coli. Its description in RNAcentral is "23S ribosomal RNA". It matches the Rfam family "Bacterial large subunit ribosomal RNA". The record is from RNAcentral. Lineage: Bacteria; Pseudomonadati; Pseudomonadota; Gammaproteobacteria; Enterobacterales; Enterobacteriaceae.
GGGUUGUGAGGUUAAGCGACUAAGCGUACACGGUGGAUGCCCCGGCAGUCAGAGGCGAUGAAGGACGUGCUAAUCUGCGAUAAGCGUCGGUAAGGUGAUAUGAACCGUUAUAACCGGCGAUUUCCGAAUGGGGAAACCCAGUGUGUUUCGACACACUAUCAUUAACUGAAUCCAUAGGUUAAUGAGGCGAACCGGGGAACUGAAACAUCUAAGUACCCCGAGGAAAAGAAAUCAACCGAGAUUCCCCAGUAGCGGCGAGCGAACGGGGAGCAGCCCAGAGCCUGAAUCAGUGUGUGUGUUAGUGGAAGCGUCUGGAAAGGCGCGCGAUACAGGGUGACAGCCCCGUACAAAAAAUGCACAUGCUGUGAGCUCGAUGAGUAGGGCGGGACACGUGGUAUCCUGUCUGAAUAUGGGGGACCAUCCUCCAAGGCUAAAUACUCCUGACUGACCGAUAGUGAACCAGUACCGUGAGGGAAAGGCGAAAAGAACCCCGGCGAGGGGAGUGAAAAAGAACCUGAAACCGUGUACGUACAAGCAGUGGGAGCACGCUUAGGCGUGUGACUGCGUACCUUUUGUAUAAUGGGUCAGCGACUUAUAUUCUGUAGCAAGGUUAACCGAAUAGGGGAGCCGAAGGGAAACCGAGUCUUAACUGGGCGUUAAGUUGCAGGGUAUAGACCCGAAACCCGGUGAUCUAGCCAUGGGCAGGUUGAAGGUUGGGUAACACUAACUGGAGGACCGAACCGACUAAUGUUGAAAAAUUAGCGGAUGACUUGUGGCUGGGGGUGAAAGGCCAAUCAAACCGGGAGAUAGCUGGUUCUCCCCGAAAGCUAUUUAGGUAGCGCCUCGUGAAUUCAUCUCCGGGGGUAGAGCACUGUUUCGGCAAGGGGGUCAUCCCGACUUACCAACCCGAUGCAAACUGCGAAUACCGGAGAAUGUUAUCACGGGAGACACACGGCGGGUGCUAACGUCCGUCGUGAAGAGGGAAACAACCCAGACCGCCAGCUAAGGUCCCAAAGUCAUGGUUAAGUGGGAAACGAUGUGGGAAGGCCCAGACAGCCGGGAUGUUGGCUUAGAAGCAGCCAUCAUUUAAAGAAAGCGUAAUAGCUCACUGGUCGAGUCGGCCUGCGCGGAAGAUGUAACGGGGCUAAACCAUGCACCGAAGCUGCGGCAGCGACGCUUAUGCGUUGUUGGGUAGGGGAGCGUUCUGUAAGCCUGCGAAGGUGUGCUGUGAGGCAUGCUGGAGGUAUCAGAAGUGCGAAUGCUGACAUAAGUAACGAUAAAGCGGGUGAAAAGCCCGCUCGCCGGAAGACCAAGGGUUCCUGUCCAACGUUAAUCGGGGCAGGGUGAGUCGACCCCUAAGGCGAGGCCGAAAGGCGUAGUCGAUGGAAACAGGUUAAUAUUCCUGUACUUGGUGUUACUGCGAAGGGGGACGGAGAAGGCUAUGUUGGCCGGGCGACGGUUGUCCCGGUUUAAGCGUGUAGGCUGGUUUUCCGGGCAAAUCCGGAAAAUCAAGGCUGAGGCGUGAUGACGAGGCACUACGGUGCUGAAGCAACAAAUGCCCUGCUUCCGGGAAAAGCCUCUAAGCAUCAGGUAACAUCAAAUCGUACCCCAAACCGACACAGGUGGUCAGGUAGAGAAUACCAAGGCGCUUGAGAGAACUCGGGUGAAGGAACUAGGCAAAAUGGUGCCGUAACUUCGGGAGAAGGCACGCUGAUAUGUAGGUGAAGUCCCUCGCGGAUGGAGCUGAAAUCAGUCGAAGAUACCAGCUGGCUGCAACUGUUUAUUAAAAACACAGCACUGUGCAAACACGAAAGUGGACGUAUACGGUGUGACGCCUGCCCGGUGCCGGAAGGUUAAUUGAUGGGGUUAGCGCAAGCGAAGCUCUUGAUCGAAGCCCCGGUAAACGGCGGCCGUAACUAUAACGGUCCUAAGGUAGCGAAAUUCCUUGUCGGGUAAGUUCCGACCUGCACGAAUGGCGUAAUGAUGGCGGGCUGUCUCCACCCGAGACUCAGUGAAAUUGAACUCGCUGUGAAGAUGCAGUGUACCCGCGGCAAGACGGAAAGACCCCGUGAACCUUUACUAUAGCUUGACACUGAACAUUGAGCCUUGAUGUGUAGGAUAGGUGGGAGGCUUUGAAGUGUGGACGCCAGUCUGCAUGGAGCCGACCUUGAAAUACCACCCUUUAAUGUUUGAUGUUCUAACGUGGACCCGUAAUCCGGGUUGCGGACAGUGUCUGGUGGGUAGUUUGACUGGGGCGGUCUCCUCCUAAAGAGUAACGGAGGAGCACGAAGGUUGGCUAAUCCCUGGUCGGACAUCAGGAGGUUAGUGCAAUGGCAUAAGCCAGCUUGACUGCGAGCGUGACGGCGCGAGCAGGUGCGAAAGCAGGUCAUAGUGAUCCGGUGGUUCUGAAUGGAAGGGCCAUCGCUCAACGGAUAAAAGGUACUCCGGGGAUAACAGGCUGAUACCGCCCAAGAGUUCAUAUCGACGGCGGUGUUUGGCACCUCGAUGUCGGCUCAUCACAUCCUGGGGCUGAAGUAGGUCCCAAGGGUAUGGCUGUUCGCCAUUUAAAGUGGUACGCGAGCUGGGUUUAGAACGUCGUGAGACAGUUCGGUCCCUAUCUGCCGUGGGCGCUGGAGAACUGAGGGGGGCUGCUCCUAGUACGAGAGGACCGGAGUGGACGCAUCACUGGUGUUCGGGUUGUCAUGCCAAUGGCACUGCCCGGUAGCUAAAUGCGGAAGAGAUAAGUGCUGAAAGCAUCUAAGCACGAAACUUGCCCCGAGAUGAGUUCUCCCUGACUCCUUGAGAGUCCUGAAGGAACGUUGAAGACGACGACGUUGAUAGGCCGGGUGUGUAAGCGCAGCGAUGCGUUGAGCUAACCGGUACUAAUGAACCGUGAGGCUUAACCUUACAACGCCGAAGCUGUU